CAGACAUCGUAUUUCUUUAAAGAUGGGUACACAUCUAACUGUGGGCACGUCCAUUUUACUAAUCUGAAGGGAGAGACUGCUGAAGAUGUAAGUUUCUUGUGGUACUCAAAAGGCUACAGAAUUCUGCCACGCCAUGUAGCUGAGAAGCAGCUGGGGCCUCUCAUCAUCCCCAGGACUGCUGGUCCAAUUCAGCAAAAUGACGAGUGCCAUAACUAACCUGAGAGCAGACACAAAGCUUUUCUAGCCCAGAUAUCAGUGUACUUGAAACCAUCUCACGAAAGAUGGUUUCCUAAAGUUUGAGCUUUCCGAGGUUGUCCCAAGCCUCUCAGUCUUUUUAGAACUUCUAGAAAUCUCCUACUCUUCCAUGGACUUCAUUGAUCAUGACAGGAAAGUGGAGCUGCUUCUUUCCUACCCAGUCCAAACGGAGUCUAGUGAACAAAGCAGGGCUUGGCUGGUGACCGCCUCCCUACUGCUCUGAAUCUCCAGGGUAUUAGGAGCCUCUGAGGUAUGUCUCUAGCACAAUGCCUUAUGGAGGUGUGGACCCCAGAAACGCUGGGAAAAUGUCCUUAGAGGAAAAAACUUCAGAAAAAAAUCACACAUUGAGGGAAGGAGUCUGCAAUCAUAAUUCCAUGUUACGUUAGAAAGACAACAGAAGGAAACUGCCAACGAUACUAUAGAUUCUUGUCAUCAGACCCAUAGACAAUGAUUGUUUAGGGUUCUGAACUUCAAAGCAUUUACUUGAGCAGAGUUGUUAGCAAAAGCCUGUAUAAUACCUCCCAAAUCAAGAUUCUUCAGCUAUCGCUGCAUAACUGCCUUCACUCACUGGGUUCUGGGCAACUCUCACUGUCUUCUUAACUAUAAGGAUGUGACCUCCAUGAAGGACAGCCAUGUUUCUUCUGCUUACCACUGUACUCCACAUGCUUAACAGUCUGAAACACAAUAAGCAUUCAAUAAUUUGUUGAAUAAAUGUUCUACACAUGAAAAUUCAAGUUUAUAAAAUAACAGAAGAGGUGAUUACUAGCUUUGCAAAAAAGAUUUACAAUAAGAUUCCUUUGAAGAGUGAACCAUUGUACAUGUAAGCUGAUUCCAUAUUUUAAAAUUUUAUUUGUACCCAACUUUUCCAGUCAAAUAUUUAUUGUAUGAAAUGACUAAUCCACAUGCCACAAAGCUCUUUCACCUAAAGAUACAUAAAAAAGAGAAAGAAGAAAAGGGGAUGUUUUUCUUUAAAGAAGAAUGACGACUAUUUAUGAAAAAGAAAUGAUACCAUUAAAAAACAAUUUUGCAUAGCCAACAUAACUUAUUCAGGAAGAAUCUUCAAGGGGUACUAAACCAUUAGGUAAAAAAGAUUGGGAACAGGAUGUUCCCAAGGUAUCAAAAUAUCACUCCACAGAUUUCUAGUUGCAAAAGAAAUACUGUAUCUUAACUCUGGAGAGUUCCAGAGAUACUCAAAAUGUAUCUUUAAAAUGGAAAGUUCUGAGGACUUUUAUUAAAAAGUAUUUUUAUAGCAGAAGCUCUGGAGGUGAUUUAAAAAUAAAUAUCUUUAUCAUGGAAAGUUCUAGAAGUGAUCAAAAUUUAUCUUUAAAAUGGAGAGUUUUGGAAAUUAUCAAAUUUAUUAUCACUAAGAGCGGGACAAACUGAUACUAUGUACCUCUUGAUAUGAUGCAAAAGAAAG
This is a long non-coding RNA of Equus asinus (donkey), 1672 nucleotides long. The record is from Ensembl. Lineage: Eukaryota; Metazoa; Chordata; Mammalia; Perissodactyla; Equidae.